Long non-coding RNA from Carassius auratus (goldfish), 408 nucleotides. RefSeq lists it as uncharacterized. NCBI's taxonomy places the organism in Eukaryota, Metazoa, Chordata, Actinopteri, Cypriniformes, Cyprinidae. The record is from RefSeq and is a predicted model, not a curated record. The transcript is spliced from 3 exons.
UGUGUUCUUUGUGGCAUCACUUAAAAUGUAUUUGAAUUUUGAAAUGAUGUCCACUCUUUCACAGAUCAUGAGCAAUCAUCCGUGUCUACUGAGGACUGUUCUAGAGGCAUCUAUUUCAAACUGACCCUCCUAUUUGGUGGAAUAAUUUUUUUUACAUGUAUUGUUCCUCUUAUUUUGGGGAUUAUCAGGGAACACAGAAGACAGAAGCAUAAAAAAGUCGCUGAAUCUCAAGCACAACAGCAUAAUGACAAGGAAAAUUAUUCAGUAGAAUAUGCUUCUGUGUAUUUCUCAAAGAAGAGACUCAAAACAGCAGGACGACAUACUGAGUAUACAACCGCUGUGUACACUGAUACUCCUUGAAAAAGGAAACAUAUUCAAACAUAUUAUAAGUUAAUUAAUUAUUAACUA